Molecule: long non-coding RNA, 1056 nt
Organism: Felis catus (domestic cat)
Lineage: Eukaryota; Metazoa; Chordata; Mammalia; Carnivora; Felidae
Exons: 2
Source: RefSeq, a predicted model, not a curated record
CGGCAAGAUAGGUGGUGUCUCAGAAAGGAGGAAGGGCCCAACUGGCUAGUAGGCACGCUGGCAUUUCCCACACCAUGAAUGAAAGAGGCGGGAAACAGAUUGGGAAUACCAAUUCAACUCUGCAGGCUGAUCCAAGAUGUGUGCAUGGAGCAGUGCUCUGACUCUGGUGCCAGGCCAAUGAGUCAGGCCCUCCACAGGCCUUACCAGGAAGACAGGCUUGGUCUUGGCUGGAUCCCUACUCUACAGACUUCACUCCCUCAGGAAACAGGGCUAAGCAAAUGUGCCUACGGGGACACUUCUCAGAUACUCACCACAGGCUGGUAGGUGGGGUAAGUCUCCCCAACCCAAAACAUGAACAGCAUGAAGGCCACGAAGCCGAAGAGGUGCUUACACAUGAGAUUCCAGGAAACAGGUGUAGGGGAUGUGUCCACACGGUUCCUGAUAUACAUGUCAAGGUCCCAGUGCAUCUGAGGCAGAAAAGCAGAUAAAUACCACAUACUGCUCUUCCUGCAAAUGGCAGGCAGUCUGCAAAAGGGUGAUCAGAGCCUGAUAUAAAGUUCAAUAAAAGCAUUCUAUUGCCUCAGGACAAUACUCUGAGAAUCAAGUGUGAGCUACUCUAGCAUAUAGGACUAGGUGCUGGCUUAGCUCUAGGUUCUGCUGACUAAAGACAGCUCAAUCAUGGAAGUUCACAAUUUUCAAAGUACAUAGUUCUGAUUAUUUCCAGAAGUCCCAUUCCAUGUACCACACAUGGAACCUCAGAUCUCAGAUCACUGGACCUUGCUUCCUUGGGCAGAAAGCCUUAAUGUUAUUUAGACAGCAAAGUGCCAUUUAGACUAAAGAAAGAAUCCUCCGGAAGAUUUAGGGAGAAGGAAGGAAGGUCAAAUGGGAUAUGGAUUUCUCACCGGCUCACCCCAGUUCAACCUCAGGUCUUGGUGGUCCCAGUCAUACCAUGGAUCCCUCUCCUGCUGUGAGCGGUCAGGGAGCUUUGGGUAGUCCCCAUAUCUGGAGAGACAGAAAAACUUCUGGAAGGGGCUCUGAGCAGCCUCACUCAGAAAA